UACGUAGGUGGCAAGCGUUAUCCGGAUUUACUGGGUGUAAAGGGCGUGUAGGCGGGGACGCAAGUCAGAUGUGAAAACCACGGGCUCAACCUGUGGCCUGCAUUUGAAACUGUGUUUCUUGAGUACUGGAGAGGCAGACGGAAUUCCUAGUGUAGCGGUGAAAUGCGUAGAUAUUAGGAGGAACACCAGUGGCGAAGGCGGUCUGCUGGACAGCAACUGACGCUGAGGCGCGGAAGCGUGGGGAGCAAACAGG
This 253-nucleotide ribosomal RNA is filed under the name uncultured bacterium. RNAcentral describes it as "partial 16S ribosomal RNA". It matches the Rfam family "Bacterial small subunit ribosomal RNA", at positions 524 to 776 of the family's 1533-position model. The record is from RNAcentral.